GCGUUUGUGGUUUAGUGGUAAAAUUCGUCGUUGCCAUUCAAUGAUAUCGACGAGCCCCGGGUUCAAUUCCCGGCGGACGCA
RNAcentral lists this transfer RNA (81 nucleotides) under Dactylellina haptotyla CBS 200.50. It matches the Rfam family "tRNA". Rfam says of the family: Transfer RNA (tRNA) molecules are approximately 80 nucleotides in length. Lineage: Eukaryota; Fungi; Ascomycota; Orbiliomycetes; Orbiliales; Orbiliaceae. The record is from Rfam by way of RNAcentral.